UACGGGAGGCAGCAGUGGGGAAUAUUGCACAAUGGGCGAAAGCCUGAUGCAGCUAUGCCGCGUGUAUGAAGAAGGCCUUAGGGUUGUAAAGUACUUUCAUCGGGGAGGAAAAAACAAAACUAAUAAUUUUAUUUCUUGACGUUACCCGAAAAAGAAGCACCGGCUAACUCCGUGCCAGCAGCCGCGGUAAUACGGAGGGUGCUAGCGUUAAUCAGAAUUACUGGGCGUAAAGAGCACGUAGGUGGUUUUUUUAAGUCAGAUGUGAAAUCCCUGGGCUUAACCUGGAACUGCAUUUUGAAACUGAAAUACUAGAGUAUCGUAGAGGGAGGUAGAAUUCUAGGUGUAGCGGUGAAAUGCGUAGAUAUCUGGAGGAAUACCUGUGGCGAAAGCGGCCUCCUAAACGAAUACUGACACUGAGGUGCGAAAGCGUGGGGAGCAAACAGGGAUUAGGAUACCCGU
This 459-nucleotide ribosomal RNA is filed under the name uncultured bacterium. RNAcentral describes it as "bacterial SSU rRNA". It matches the Rfam family "Bacterial small subunit ribosomal RNA", at positions 340 to 790 of the family's 1533-position model. The record is from RNAcentral.